Molecule: ribosomal RNA, 184 nt
Filed under: Mantidactylus melanopleura
Lineage: Eukaryota; Metazoa; Chordata; Amphibia; Anura; Mantellidae
Description: partial 16S ribosomal RNA
Source: RNAcentral
UUGUUCUUUAAAUGGGGANUUGUAUCAACGGCACCACGAGGGUUAGACUGUCUCCUUUUUCAAAUCAGUGAAAUUAAUCUCCCCGUGAAGAAGCGGGGAUACUCAUAUAAGACGAGAAGACCCCAUGGAGCUUCAAACCCAACUACACCCCUAGCUCUUAUAGCCCCACAACCCCCCCCCCCCC